This 331-nucleotide unclassified non-coding RNA is filed under the name uncultured fungus. RNAcentral's name for it is "partial contains 5.8S ribosomal RNA and internal transcribed spacer 2". The stretch from base 1 to 133 matches the Rfam family "5.8S ribosomal RNA", at positions 22 to 154 of the family's 154-position model. The record is from RNAcentral. Lineage: Eukaryota; Fungi.
UGGUUCUGGCAUCGAUGAAGAACGCAGCGAAAUGCGAUAAGUAAUGUGAAUUGCAGAAUUCAGUGAAUCAUCGAAUCUUUGAACGCACAUUGCGCCCUUUGGCAUUCCGAGGGGCAUGCCCGUUCGAGCGUCAUUAAACCCCCUCAAGCCUGGCUUGGUGUUGGGCGCCGGGGACCUCCCGCGCCUCCAUUUCGCCGGCUGGCCGUCGUUUGACUUAGCGUUGUGACACAUGUCGCUAAUGAAAACGGCGGACCGCGCCGUGAAAAUUUCCUUGGGUGUCACUCGACACUUAGUACAGGUUGACCUCGGAUCGGGUAGGAAUACCCGCUGA